Molecule: ribosomal RNA, 242 nt
Filed under: uncultured Hymenobacter sp.
Lineage: Bacteria; Pseudomonadati; Bacteroidota; Cytophagia; Cytophagales; Hymenobacteraceae
Description: partial 16S ribosomal RNA
Rfam family: Bacterial small subunit ribosomal RNA
Source: RNAcentral
GGGUGCGUAACACGUAGCUAACCUGCCCAAGACUGGGGGAUCGCCCGCCGAAAGGCGGAUUACUAGGCGCAUAAUAUCUGUUACUGGCAUCAGUGAGAGAUUAAAUCUACGGAGGUCUUGGAUGGGGCUGCGGGUCAUUAGCUAGUUGGUACGGUAACGGCGUACCAAGGCGACGAUGACUAGGGGAGCUGAGAGGCUGGUCCCCCACACGGGCACUGAGGAUACGGGCCCGACUCCUACGG